CAGGGAGACAAAAUCAGAUUGUGAUGUCUAAAUUAUUUAUUUUUAGGCCAUAAUCCUGUCACCUUAGGUCGAUCGGUACCUCAGUUUAAUAUCAAUGAACUAAGUAAUUUAGUUCUUCCAGUUAUUAAAUUCAGUUCCUAAACUUUGUCUAGGUCACACCCCAAAAGGGAUGAGACUCCUGGGCCAUUAGCUCAGGUGGUUAGAGCGCACCCCUGAUAAGGGUGAGGUCCCUGGUUCAAGUCCAGGAUGGCCCAUUCGGUGUUGGGGGUUUAGCUCAGUUGGUAGAGCGCCUGCUUUGCAAGCAGGAUGUCAGGAGUUCGAGUCUCCUAACCUCCACUGACCGAACUUGAUUCCCAUCUCCAAUUCUUUUGGAGUUGAGCUCGAUUGGAGUGUGAUUUAGAUUUGUCCGCUGGAUGACCCCAGCUUCCUGUCAUUCCAAGUUUUAGGUUGAUGCCUUGAAUUUGGUUGAUAAGAUGCUGGGCUCGGAUCAAAUGAUCAAGCAAUUGGUGAUUUGAUUUGAAGUUCUAGCAGAACCUUGACAACUGCAUAGGUGAGUCUGGAAAAAACAAAGCAUCUUACAGAUGCAUUGUUUUGAAUCUGAUCUUCUGAAAGGGAGAUUGGAUCUAGAACAAUGAAAAUUCUUUUGAGCAAGAGCCGAGACUUUUGAACGUUCUUUGAUUGGUGUCGAGCCAAUCAGAGUUUGAUCUUGUUUUUAGCAAUAAAAACUUGAGAAUCUGCUUUCAACGGCGGUAAGCGUUCAGGAGGUUAAUU
Molecule: transfer RNA, 771 nt
Filed under: uncultured cyanobacterium
Lineage: Bacteria; Bacillati; Cyanobacteriota
Description: partial 16S-23S ribosomal RNA intergenic spacer
Rfam family: tRNA (bases 264-336)
Source: RNAcentral